CUUUGAGCAAAAGUUCAUGAUCUCAAAGAAUCUUCAUGCAGUAGACAUUUCAAGGUUGGAGAAAUUUUACAGUACAUGAAAUAGUUGAAGUUUGACAGCAAUUUUGGGAUUACAGCAAUUUUGGCUGUAUGUGGGAUGAAAUAAACUCCACUAAGGUGGGAAGAUUACCUGGGACCAGGCGGUCGAGGCUAUGGUGAGCUGUGAUCAUGACACUGCACUUCAGCCUGGACAAUGGGGCAAGAACCUAUUUAAAAAAUAAAAUAAAAUACUCCAAGGGUUCAUUUGACUUUGA
This 292-nucleotide long non-coding RNA is filed under the name Homo sapiens (human). RNAcentral's name for it is "HSALNT0011666". The record is from RNAcentral. Lineage: Eukaryota; Metazoa; Chordata; Mammalia; Primates; Hominidae.